UGCGGCUUAAUUCAACGGUUAGAAUGCCAUUCUUAUACAAUGGUAGUUAUGGGUUCGAAUCCUAUAGCCGCAA
This 73-nucleotide transfer RNA is filed under the name Taibaiella soli. It matches the Rfam family "tRNA". From Rfam's summary of the family: Transfer RNA (tRNA) molecules are approximately 80 nucleotides in length. The record is from Rfam by way of RNAcentral. Lineage: Bacteria; Pseudomonadati; Bacteroidota; Chitinophagia; Chitinophagales; Chitinophagaceae.